RNAcentral lists this ribosomal RNA (292 nucleotides) under uncultured bacterium. RNAcentral's name for it is "partial 16S ribosomal RNA". It matches the Rfam family "Bacterial small subunit ribosomal RNA", at positions 505 to 796 of the family's 1533-position model. The record is from RNAcentral.
GUGUCAGCCGCCGCGGUAAUACAGAGGUGCCAAGCGUUAGGCGGAAUCACUGGGCUUAAAGCGCGUGUAGGCGGGUCGUUAAGUGUCUUGUGAAAUCCCACGGCUCAACCGUGGAACUGCUGGGCAUACUGACGAUCUUGAGGCACUCAGGGGCUGUCGGAACAAAUGGUGGAGCGGUGAAAUGCGUAGAUAUCAUUUGGAACGCCAACGGUGAAAACAGACAGCUGGGGGUGUCCUGACGCUGAGACGCGAAAGCCAGGGGAGCGAACGGGAUUAGAUACCCCGGUAGUCC